This 622-nucleotide long non-coding RNA is filed under the name Lactuca sativa (garden lettuce). RNAcentral describes it as "long non-coding RNA (LSAT_LNC009110)". Lineage: Eukaryota; Viridiplantae; Streptophyta; Magnoliopsida; Asterales; Asteraceae. The record is from RNAcentral.
AGGAAGGGGGUGGAAGUUCUGUUCAGAUAUGGAACUAGGGCUUUUUGUAGAAGAGAAUGCGAGAGAGUUAAAUCUGAGAGAGGGGAUGCAGGAUUGUGCCAUUUUUGUUUAUCGAUAUGAGAGGUCGCUGUGUUUUUGUGGAGGAAGAGAUGGUUGCUUAUCCGUUAAACGACGACGACGAUGCGACGGAGUGAGGCAGGCAAUUAGCUAUUAUUACUAAAGAAACAAGAGCUUAAUUAUCCGUUGUGGUGGAGCUAUUAUUUCUUGUUUCUUCAACCNUUGUAGAAGAGAAUGCGAGAGAGUUAAAUCUGAGAGAGGGGAUGCAGGAUUGUGCCAUUUUUGUUUAUCGAUAUGAGAGGUCGCUGUGUUUUUGUGGAGGAAGAGAUGGUUGCUUAUCCGUUAAACGACGACGACGAUGCGACGGAGUGAGGCAGGCAGUUGGUGAGGUGAGGGGAUGAGCCAACGAAGGAAGAAGAUAAACAAGAUUUUUAUUUGGGUUACGUUGUUGCGUGUGGGAAUGUAAAACCCAAAAUUGAAACAAAUCUCAUGGCGCUCGGGUUGGGCCUGGGUUUGCUGUAUCAUUUCCUACCAAUCGAUUAGGAUUUAAGAAGGCCAAAACUAG